Molecule: long non-coding RNA, 3004 nt
Organism: Magallana angulata
Lineage: Eukaryota; Metazoa; Mollusca; Bivalvia; Ostreida; Ostreidae
Exons: 3
Source: RefSeq, a predicted model, not a curated record
UGUCAAUAAAAUAUUGGUCUGAUUUGCUAUCUUUAACAUAUAACCGCAAAAAAAUAUAGGGAUGGGACAAUACACCAGUGCAUCACAGUAUAUACUUUGACGGUAUUUGGAUUGAUACAUUUACCAUUAAUACAGCGAUACCGUAACGAACUUUUUUUUUUAUUUUCCAAAAAUAUCCGAGCUUCAUAUAUCAGCUAUUUUAAGUCCGUGCGCCUAAUAUGAAAGUACAAAAAUGGCAGAAAACCUCGUAAAGUUGUCAAAUCGAAGCUAAAUCUGGAGUGUGGAAAACUUUCGGAUUACUUGUUUAUGAAAAGUAGUGAAUACAAAACGAAAAUUGCUGUGCAUGAUGGAUACUCCCAUGGAAUUACCCUAGGAUUGUAGUGAAAAAUGAAAUCUGAUGAUGGAAACCAAAUAUUGAAAUGCAAUAAACAGAUAUUUCCUGUCUAUGCAAGAUAAAGGAAGGAGAGAGUCGAUUCUUUCAAGAAAGGAAUGGAUCUGUAUCAAAGGAAACAAGGGUAUGCCCAAUUAUAUGCACUGCAUGUUUUGAGAGUCUAGACCAUACAUAUGUUCAAAUGUCCCCGUUUACAACUGCCAAAAUCAUGAACUUGUAUUGAAGUUCUAAUUUAUGCUGUAUUAUAUACAGUGACUGUUCCAUGAUUUAACUUACCUUUUGAUAUUAAUAAGGAGUUUUGAUGUAUAAAUCGCAUUUGCAGAUAAGGCAAGAAUUAACAGAAAUGUAAAUACUUGUUAUUAUGCCCCCUUCAGACAAGGGAGGGAAUACUACAUUGCUGUUGUUGAUCGGCCGGUCCACCAACAAUUUCCUUUAACGCAGAGGUUGCUCCUAUUGAUAUGAAAUUUGACACACAGAUUCAUCAUAAUAAUAUUUUGGUCAAGUUUGAUUUAGAGUCUAAUUGAGCAAUUUUUGACUUGGAUAUGGGAAAAUCCCAAUUAUUUGCUUUUUCGUUCAUUUCUUUGUAUAGGUCUCCAAGGAAGAAGGGGACAAUUGUGUUUCACAAAUAUCUCUUGUUUUUUGAAAUAUAAAGUCUCAUAACUGCAAUGGUGUGUGCAGACAAAUUUUCAUGAUGCACAAACGCCUGUUACUCCUCUUUCAAUAAACAAUGAUUUAAUGCUUAAAUAAAUUGUCUGAGGAGUUUAAAAGAAAAGCCUGAACAUUUUACAAUGUUGGCUUUUUAAAGACAAUAUGUGUGUAUAAACGUGUAUUUAUGUGUGUAUAUAUGUUGUAGAAAGUGGAAGUUAUACUAUAGACAGGCUGUCAGGCUGUAUUUAAACAAAAGACCUCCUGGGAUGAGGAGAAAAAGAAACAAGUAGAACCUGUAUUUCUUGUCGAGUACUUGAUGAUGUCAUCAGAAUAUGAAAAUGAUUGGGAAGAUGACACAAUAUAUGAAAUCACAUCUCUAAAGUGGUGCUCUGACGAAUGUUUAAUUGGACACCAAAAGUUCUGCUCUGAAAUCCAAAUGUUCAAAAAGGCAAAGUAUAAGACGUAUAAGGACCAACAAAGAAUCAUCUAGAGACAAACCAGAAAAUAUAUCAAAUGAACAGAAAUGGGCCAUUUGAGAUUUUUAAAAGAGUUGCUACUGUCAUGUAUAAUUAGCUCACCUGAGCUGAAAGUUAUUAUAUGGUUUUACUGAUAUGCAAGCAUUUUGACAUAUACAUUGUUGAUUGUAUAAAAUUGUUAACUCCGUCCCAUGGGCAAUUUUUGUUUCUCGCAAGAGGUUCAUAUUUUGAUGUAGGUUUAUUAUCCAUGUAUAAAGAGUUGUUUAACACUUCUUGAGAACUGCAAAGCUCAAUAUGUGAUAUGACUGUAAAAUCAUUGCAAAAAAGCUUGAUGUAUUGUUGUAGUAUGAUGAACCUAAAAAUAUGCUGGGUAUUUUUUUAAAUACAGGAUCUGAUAUUACUUGUUCAACUCAUACUGUUAUAUAAAAGAAUAUUCAUUGUGUAUUUUUUUAUUGUUGAAUUUUUUUUAUGCUGAUCAAUUACAGAUUAAAUUUGGCCAUUAUGAUUUUCAAUUUUUGUCAUAUUGGCAUGUAACCAAGUCAUACUUUUUUUUAUCUCAAUUUAUUUACAAAUAUGUUUAAGUUUAUUUCCAGUAAUUAGUGCAUACAUCUUUAUAGCAUAAUAGAACUGAAGACAAUAGGAAGUUAUUUAUUUUUAAAGGGAGCUCUGUUGGCAGUUAGUUGCAGAUCUUGAUACCCAAGUAAGAGAAAGGUGGCGUCUCUGACCGAUCCUUUUGCUCUUGCUUGUGGGCGAGUGAGGCUUCCCUGUCAAAGGCUUGUAUAAGUUUAAAAUCGUAGAUCAAAUUAUAAACUAAUCACAUAUAUGAGUGAUAUAAAGUGGUUAUUUUAAUGAAUAUUUUAUCAUAAUUUGUUUCUUUUGUUCUAAGUAAAGAGUUAGAGACUAGAUUUUUGAUAAUUUAUUGAGUAAAGAGUAGUUUUUAUGGACAUCUAGGCAGUUAUACCGGACUUUUUGUAUGUAUAUCUUUCAGAGCUUGUUCCUGAAACUUGGGCGUAGACUAGAAAAUUUACGGAAAAAAUACAAUUUUUAUCUCAAGUUAUUUUAAUCUACAUAUUUAUACAAGUUUCACUUAUAUAAUUAAUUAGCUUAAUUAGCUCUAUAGUGAACAAAAUUUGUUGUUAAAAAUAUACAGGAGACAAUGCAAGAGUGUUUUGAAAGGGCUUUGCUGGCAGUAAGUUGCAGAUCUUGAUACCCAAGUAAGAGAAAGGUGGUGUCUCUGACUGAUCCUUUUGCUCUUGCUUGUGGGCGAGUGAGGCUUCCCUGUCAGUUUCUUACAGAUGCAAGAAAUAAACAAGACUUGAUAAGACAUUUCUGAGUAAAAUAUUGGGGAAACUGUUUUCUUUUUAUGAUAAGUAAGAUUGAGUUGAAUAUUUAUAGUGUCAUAACUAUAUUUUACAUUCUGUACAUGCAUAUGCCAGGUCUUAUUUCAGACCUUAAUAGGAUAGACUAGAAGAAUUUUUAUUGCAGGUGA